This 24-nucleotide non-coding RNA is filed under the name Cricetulus griseus (Chinese hamster). The record is from RNAcentral. Lineage: Eukaryota; Metazoa; Chordata; Mammalia; Rodentia; Cricetidae.
UUUCUAGGACAAGGUCAUAGAAGC